CCUACGGGUGGCAGCAGUGGGGAAUAUUGGACAAUGGGCGAAAGCCUGAUCCAGCCAUGCCGCGUGUGUGAAGAAGGCCUUCGGGUUGUAAAGCACUUUCAGUGGGGAAGAAAGCCUUGGGGCUAAUACCCUCGAGGAAGGACAUCACCCACAGAAGAAGCACCGGCUAACUCCGUGCCAGCAGCCGCGGUAAUACGGAGGGUGCGAGCGUUAAUCGGAAUUACUGGGCGUAGAGCGCGCGUAGGCGGUCUGAUAAGCCGGUUGUGAAAGCCCCGGGCUCAACCUGGGAACGGCAUCCGGAACUGUCAGGCUAGAGUGCAGGAGAGGAAGGUAGAAUUCCCGGUGUAGCGGUGAAAUGCGUAGAGAUCGGGAGGAAUACCAGUGGCGAAGGCGGCCUUCUGGACUGACACUGACGCUGAGGUGCGAAAGCGUGGGUAGCAAACAGGAUUAGAUACCCGUGUAGUC
RNAcentral lists this ribosomal RNA (465 nucleotides) under Vreelandella stevensii. RNAcentral describes it as "partial 16S ribosomal RNA". It matches the Rfam family "Bacterial small subunit ribosomal RNA", at positions 338 to 795 of the family's 1533-position model. The record is from RNAcentral. Lineage: Bacteria; Pseudomonadati; Pseudomonadota; Gammaproteobacteria; Oceanospirillales; Halomonadaceae.